GCUGGUGUUUCUAAGUGGUUAGAGCAUCCAUUGUGCAUCGAUGGGUCGUGGGUUCAAUUCCCGUCACAGGCA
This is a non-coding RNA of Myotis lucifugus (little brown bat), 72 nucleotides long. Lineage: Eukaryota; Metazoa; Chordata; Mammalia; Chiroptera; Vespertilionidae. The record is from Rfam.